GGGAAGGCAUAAAGGUUAUAGAGUUGGCUUGAAACUAACUGUUGGAGGUUCGAUU
Molecule: transfer RNA, 55 nt
Filed under: Mammuthus primigenius (woolly mammoth)
Lineage: Eukaryota; Metazoa; Chordata; Mammalia; Proboscidea; Elephantidae
Description: partial tRNA-Ser
Source: RNAcentral